AGAUAUGAGGGUGACCUGUGACAUCCGUCACCCUACUGAUCGCCAGGGUUGAUUCAGCUGAUCUGGCUAGCUAGGCAGGUGUCCCCUUCCUCACCACUCCAUGUGCAUCCCUCUUAAAGUUAUGCACUCGGUGGAAGAGGACACCUAUCCCCAAUAGAGGAAGACUGUUCUUCAGUCAAGGGUAUACCAGUAGCUGCACUUCCCUGCUGGAACCUCCAAACAAGCUCUCAAGGUCCAUUUUUAAGAGAACAUAUGGUAGUCAUGCUUCCGAGACUCCAGACAUUCCAAAUGAGUUGCUGCAUGUGGCAGUCUACCUUUCUUU
RNAcentral lists this small nuclear RNA (322 nucleotides) under Aotus nancymaae (Ma's night monkey). RNAcentral describes it as "7SK RNA (ENSANAG00000006038.1)". It matches the Rfam family "7SK RNA". From Rfam's summary of the family: 7SK was discovered as an abundant small nuclear RNA in the mid-70s but a possible function has only recently been suggested. The record is from Rfam by way of RNAcentral. Lineage: Eukaryota; Metazoa; Chordata; Mammalia; Primates; Aotidae.